AAGCUUGUUUGUGAGCUCCAGAGCCUUCCCCGCGGCUAUUUAAGCGUGCCCCGAGUCCCUCCGCACCUCACCAGCCUCUUCCCAAGCCUCCUCGCCCACCAGAGUCCUCGGCCCUCUCUUCUUUUCGCCGGAGUUCGUCUCGGCCAUCGCCGGUCUUCUCGUUUUCGGCGAACCUAGCCCCUCUCCUCUCUUCCAAAGCUGUCCACCGUGUUCCCCUCCUCUCAGAGAGCCUCCCCACCCCACUCGUUUGACACCGGAGUCCCUCUGGACGCGCCUCCCGGCGCUUGGCCGUCGCCGUUGCUCUCGGCCACCACCCCGACCGAGUCCAUCCGAGCCUCCUCUCUCCCUCCCGACUCCACCACCGUCCUCCCCGUGCUCCGCUGAGUCGUCCCACCCCCUUGCCCCCUCACCGGAGUGGCUGCAGCGCCGAGCCCCUCCACCACCGGCCACCUCUGUCUCCCCUCGGUACUCCACCGCCCCCACGUCCUCCUCUCCUCCCCGGGGCCGGCCGACCCCCUGAACGGACGCGCCACGCCGGGCCGCAGCCUCCGGUGGCCUCGCCCUGGCCGGGGACGGUCGGAGCCGGCCAGGCCGCCGCCGCUCCCUCCCCUGCUCCUCUCCUCUGUUCAGUGAGAACAGGAGCGAGAGGAGGAAGACGACGUGCGCCCGCGCCUCCCUCCCCUGCCCCUGGGCCCGGCCCGUCAGUGGCCCAGGCGCCCCCGCUGACGUGUCAAGUGUACACGUAUUCCGGGACCCGUUGGUGAUAAAAUUUUCAUAGAUUGGUCCUUCUUCUUCUACACCUCAUAACUCCGCAACCGUAACUCUGAUUGAGCCCCCUCCGAGAGAAAACCGUCCGGCGUUUUGCUCCGUGGCUUCACCGCACUUCUUCCUGGAGUCUCCGUCACCCCAGG
Non-coding RNA from Triticum urartu, 911 nucleotides. The record is from RefSeq and is a predicted model, not a curated record. NCBI's taxonomy places the organism in Eukaryota, Viridiplantae, Streptophyta, Magnoliopsida, Poales, Poaceae.